RNAcentral lists this ribosomal RNA (1508 nucleotides) under metagenome. RNAcentral's name for it is "bacterial LSU rRNA". It matches the Rfam family "Bacterial large subunit ribosomal RNA", at positions 1366 to 2864 of the family's 2925-position model. The record is from RNAcentral.
AAAUCCACGUCGGGUUAGUCGGGCCUAAGGCGAGGCCUGAUGGCGCAGUCGAUGGACAACAGGUUAAUAUUCCUGUACCACGUAAUACCGAUUGAGUGAAGGGGUGACGCAGGGGGGUAGGCCAGCCAGUUAUUGGAUUCUGGUGCUAAGCCUGUAGGGCGACGAAAGGGAUAGGGAAAACCGUUCCUAGAGCCUGAGGGGUGAUGGCGGAGCCCGAGAGGGCCGGAAGUGGUUGAGCCCGCGCUGCCGAGAAAAGCCUCUAGCGAGGUAUGCGUGACCGUACCGCAAACCGACACAGGUAGAUGGGUAGAGAAUACCAAGGCGAACGGAAGAACCCUUGUUAAGGAACUAGGCAAAUUAAGUCCGUAACUUAGGGAAAAGGACUGCCACUGGUUGUGAGGGCGACUAGCUUGUCUGAGCGAUUGGUGGUCGCAGCGAAAUGGCUCUGCCGACUGUUUAACAAAAACACAGGUCUCUGCAAAAGCGAAAGCUGACGUAUAGGGGCUGACGCCUGCCCAGUGCCGGAAGGUUAAGGGGAGAUGUGAUGAGCAUUGAACCGAAGCCCCGGUGAACGGCGGCCGUAACUAUAACGGUCCUAAGGUAGCGAAAUUCCUUGUCGGGUAAGUUCCGACCCGCACGAAAGGCGUAACGAGCAGAGCACUGUCUCAACAAGGGACCCGGCGAAGUUGGAAUAGCGGUGAAGAUGCCGUUUACCCGCAGCAGGACAAAAAGACCCCGUGGAGCUUUACUGUAGCUUGACAUUGAGUUAGGGCUUUGUCUGUGUAGGAUAGGUGGGAGGCUGUGAAGCUGGUCCGCUAGGAUCGGUGGAGUCGACGUUGAAAUACCACCCUGAUGGAGUCUUGGCUCUAACCUGUGGCCCUAAUCGGGCAUGGGGACAGUGUCUGGUAGGCAGUUUGACUGGGGCGGUCGCCUCCUAAAGAGUAACGGAGGCGCCCAAAGGUUCCCUCAGGCUGAAUGGAAACCAGCCGCAGAGUGUAAAGGCAUAAGGGAGCUUGACUGCGAGACAAACAAGUCGAGCAGAGACGAAAGUCGGGCUUAGUGAUCCUACGGUUCCGAGUGGAAGGGCCGUGGCUUAACGGACAAAAGCUACCCCGGGGAUAACAGGCUGAUCUCCUCCAAGAGUUCACAUCGACGAGGAGGUUUGGCACCUCGAUGUCGGCUCGUCGCAUCCUGGGGCUGAAGUAGGUCCCAAGGGUCCGGCUGUUCGCCGGUUAAAGCGGUACGCGAGCUGGGUUCAGACCGUCGUGAGACAGGUCGGUCUCUAUCCGCUGUGGGCGAAGGGGAUUUGAGAGGGGCUGCCCCUAGUACGAGAGGACCGGGGUGGACAGACCGCUGGUGUACCAGUUGUCUCGCCAGAGGCAUGGCUGGGUAGCUAAGUCUGGCAGCGAUAACCGCUGAAAGCAUCUAAGUGGGAAACGCGCCUCAAGAUGAGAUCCCCCACUGUAAAAGGGUAAGUGCACCGGGAGACUACCGGUUAGAUAGGCGGC